UAAAGUGUGUAAACAAAUGUGUGUGUGUGUGUGUGUGUGUGUGUGUGUGUGUGUGUGUGUGUACACGGUGUCCUGUUUAGGGUGUGUUCAUGUCUCAUACCCAGUGUUCCUGGAAUAGGUUCCGGAUUCACAGCAACCCUGACCAGCAUAAAGACGUUAAUGAAGUUGUGCUAACAUGCUAAGCUGUCUGAAACCCAGUGAACUGACCGGUUCCGGAUGAGCAGCUCGCGGUCUCUCGGCGUCGGAACCGGACAUGUCUGCACGAAAACAGCUUCACGGAAGUUGGGGCUCCGCUUCGUUACCAUCAUCUUCUUCAUACUGCUCGGUAUUGACGAGCGUUUAUCAUCCAUAAAGUGAUGUGAAUAGGACAUGUCGAUAAUAAAACGCUUUUGAAAACGCGUCUGAAAAACCCAGCGACACCUGGGCACAGAUUUACACAUCAGCCUAACAGACAUGUUUACACCACGG
Molecule: long non-coding RNA, 468 nt
Organism: Ictalurus punctatus (channel catfish)
Lineage: Eukaryota; Metazoa; Chordata; Actinopteri; Siluriformes; Ictaluridae
Exons: 2
Source: RefSeq, a predicted model, not a curated record